RNAcentral lists this ribosomal RNA (116 nucleotides) under Pteropus alecto (black flying fox). The record is from RNAcentral. Lineage: Eukaryota; Metazoa; Chordata; Mammalia; Chiroptera; Pteropodidae.
GUCUACGGCCAUGCCGCCCUGAACAUGCCCCAUCUCAUCUGAUCUCGGAAGCUAAGCAGGGUCGGGCCUGGUUAGUACUUGCAUGAGAGACCACUUAGGACCAGGUGCUGUAGCCA